RNAcentral lists this unclassified non-coding RNA (511 nucleotides) under Talaromyces ohiensis. RNAcentral describes it as "partial contains ITS 1, 5.8S rDNA and ITS 2". The stretch from base 180 to 333 matches the Rfam family "5.8S ribosomal RNA". Lineage: Eukaryota; Fungi; Ascomycota; Eurotiomycetes; Eurotiales; Trichocomaceae. The record is from RNAcentral.
GUGCAGGCCCCUUCCGGGCCUACCCUCCCACCCGUGUCUCUUAUAUACCCUGUUGCUUUGGCGGGCCCACCGGGUCUCUCCGGUCGCCGGGGGGCACUGCGCCCCCGGGCCCGUGCCCGCCAGAGCACCCUAUGAACCCUUCUGAAGAUCGGCGGUCUGAGUGGGAUGAUAAUCAUUAAAACUUUCAACAAUGGAUCUCUUGGUUCCGGCAUCGAUGAAGAACGCAGCGAAAUGCGAUAAGUAAUGUGAAUUGCAGAAUUCCGUGAAUCAUCGAAUCUUUGAACGCACAUUGCGCCCCCUGGCAUUCCGGGGGGCAUGCCUGUCCGAGCGUCAUUUCUGCCCUCAAGCGCGGCUUGUGUGUUGGGCGUGGUCCCCCGGCCCCGGGGGACCUGCCCCAAAGGCAGCGGCGACGUCCCGUCUAGGUCCUCGAGCGUAUGGGGCUUUGUCACCCGCUCGGGAGGGGCCUGCGGGCGUUGGUCACCCCUAUUUCUUAUUGUACGGUUGACCUCGG